GACGAACGCUGGCGGCGUGCCUAAUACAUGCAAGUCGAACGCUGAAGGAGGAGCUUGCUCUUCUGGAUGAGUUGCGAACGGGUGAGUAACGCGUAGGUAACCUGCCUGGUAGCGGGGGAUAACUAUUGGAAACGAUAGCUAAUACCGCAUAACAGUAGAUGCUGCAUGACAUUUACUUAAAAGGUGCAAUUGCAUCACUACCAGAUGGACCUGCGUUGUAUUAGCUAGUUGGUGGGGUAACGGCUCACCAAGGCGACGAUACAUAGCCGACCUGAGAGGGUGAUCGGCCACACUGAGACUGAGACACGGCCCAGACUCCUACGGGAGGCAGCAGUAGGGAAUCUUCGGCAAUGGACGGAAGUCUGACCGAGCAACGCCGCGUGAGUGAAGAAGGUUUUCGGAUCGUAAAGCUCUGUUGUAAGAGAAGAACGAGUGUGAGAGUGGAAAGUUCACACUGUGACGGUAUCUUACCAGAAAGGGACGGCUAACUACGUG
This 495-nucleotide ribosomal RNA is filed under the name uncultured bacterium. RNAcentral's name for it is "partial 16S ribosomal RNA". It matches the Rfam family "Bacterial small subunit ribosomal RNA", at positions 28 to 507 of the family's 1533-position model. The record is from RNAcentral.